This 1663-nucleotide unclassified non-coding RNA is filed under the name Leishmania donovani. RNAcentral's name for it is "gene:LdHU3.21.1350(CDS-product:Aminoacyl-tRNA_edi ting_domain_containing_protein_putative)". The record is from RNAcentral. Lineage: Eukaryota; Euglenozoa; Kinetoplastea; Trypanosomatida; Trypanosomatidae.
GGCACUUCCGACGUCACACACAACUCGACGUCUUCUCCCUCUUCUGUUUCUGUUUCCUCGCCUAGAUACCGAUACACGUACGCGCGGCCCGCGCUCCUCGCCCGUGCAUCCUUUGCCUUUACAGCCCCCGUCUUCCCCCCUUCCUUUUCCACCGAUGCCUGCUGCUGCUGCUGCUGCUGCUGCUGCCUCGUCCGUGGAGCAGCGCCUUGCGCAACUGGUGCAGCGCUUUGAUGUGAUCGAGUCUGGCCUGAAGCACGUGCAGCAGCAGCUGCGGCACGGCGCCCCUGGUGGAGCCGCUGCCGGUGCGGCCUCCUCUGACGCGUCAUUAUGCCGUGCAAGCAGCACUGCCAAGGCACCAGCUGACCUGCCGGCGCUGCAGCCCGAUCCGAAGGAUCCGCUGGAGGUGGCGAGGCUGCGGCGCCAUUGUGUGGACAGCGGGCUGCACUCCACCGAGUUCCUGUGGGUGCCGUCGAACUACUAUCAGGAGAACCUGCAGUGGCGGCGCGACGCCCUGCGCGCGCCAACCAUUCGUCACCUAUGCAAGACAGUCUUGAUGGAGAACACACAUUGCACGAACAAAGACUGCGCGGAUCGCAACAACUCGCGCUACUACCUUGUCGUGUACCAGUACGUGGACCGCUUCAACUCUGACAUGGUCGGCCGCGCGAUCCAAGAGCUGAACCCCGGUAUGGGAAAGAAAAAAUUCAACUUCCGGCUGGCUGAUCCGGCAGAGGCGGAGAAGCUGACUGGGGUGCGCAGCGGCGCCGUUGCCCCGUUCGGCACUGCUAUCCCGAUUCCGGUGAUCGUGAGCAUCGGUAUUACAAAGCUGGCGCCACCGACCUUCUACGUCGGCGGUGGCCACGUGGACUGCAAGUGCCGGCUCGACGCGGCGGAGUUCAUCCGGGUGUCAAACGCGAUCGUGGCCCCAAUCAGCGUGCCUCUAACGGACGAGGAGCUUGAGCAGAUUGCGGACUAAAAGUGGGCAGCAAAGACGCGCGCACAGAGGCGGUGGGGGAAGCGACGCAGCAGUACGUGUGUUUCGAUAAGAGAUACGACGCCGCGGUCUUGUGCGUGUGCACGUGGAGCAGCUGAGUGCGGUGGCUGCUAACGACUCAGUGGAACGUGAGUGGCCCCUUGAAUGCCCCCUCCCCCAAGCCACUCCACAUGCUGCUCCCUCUCAUGACCUCUGACUCACUUACAGACGACUUUUGCUUCCAUGUACACCGUCCCCAUGCAGAGAAGACGAUGCGCGUGUCUGCGUAGAGGACUUGCCGCGUAGGGAUUGGCCGCAUUCCGCGACGGAGCAGGUCCCCCCCCCCCCCCCCAUUCCCUUUACCCAAGCGCAGGGCAUGCCUACGUGCAGACAAACACAGUAAUGCGGACAGUGAAAGCCACCGUCAUGCGUGCCGUCGAGGCACUCGUUCACAGACUACAAGAAAACAAUGAUCGUUACGCUGCGGCACGGCGGCGCUCCGCCGUGCAGCAGCAGCACUCUGCUAUUGUGCUGCCCCUCCCUUUCUCUUGCACUCUCCCCAUCUCUCCACACACACCACACUUUCGUUAUGCCUUUUCAUGCGUGCACAUAUGGCUCGUCGACGUGCACACUGACACACACACGUCCUCACACCGGCACGCCUCAUUCUCUACCACAAUCUGUACACAG